UGGCCAGUAAUCGUGACACC
Molecule: non-coding RNA, 20 nt
Filed under: Arabidopsis thaliana (thale cress)
Lineage: Eukaryota; Viridiplantae; Streptophyta; Magnoliopsida; Brassicales; Brassicaceae
Source: RNAcentral